UUGGAGGGCAAGUCUGGUGCCAGCAGCCGCGGUAAUUCCAGCUCCAAUAGCGUAUAUUAAAGUUGUUGCAGUUAAAAAGCUCGUAGUUGAAUUUCGGGGUUCUACCGUUGGUCGGGCUUUGUCUGUACUGGUGUGUAGAAUUUCUACCUUCUGGGGAACCAUCAUGCUAUUAAUUUAGCGUGGUGGGAAACCAGGACCUUUACCUUGAAAAAAUUAGUGUGUUCAAAGCAGGCUUAUGUCUGAAUACAUUAGCGUGGAAUAAUAGAAUAGGACGGUGGUCCUGUUUUGUUGGUUUCUGAAUCACCGUAAUGAUUAAUAGGGAUAGUUGGGGGCAUUAGUAUUCAAUUGUCAGAGGUGAAAUUCUUGGAUUUAUUGAAGACUAACUUCUGCGAAAGCAUUUGCCAAGGAUGUUUUCAUUAAUCAAGAACGAAAGUUAGGGGAUCGAAGACGAUCAGAUACCGUCGUAGUCUUAACCAUAAACUAUGCCGACUAGGGAUCGGACGAUGUUAAUUUUUCUUGACUCGUUCGGCGCCUUACGGG
RNAcentral lists this ribosomal RNA (540 nucleotides) under uncultured Glomeromycotina. RNAcentral describes it as "SSU rRNA". It matches the Rfam family "Eukaryotic small subunit ribosomal RNA", at positions 548 to 1094 of the family's 1831-position model. The record is from RNAcentral. Lineage: Eukaryota; Fungi; Glomeromycota.